GGUCGAUUAGCUCAGUUGGUUUAGAGCGUGGUGCUAAUACCUACCUAGCCUCAUCUACCCGAUGCCUGCUAGUUAGAAUACGCCAAGGUCGCGAGUUCGACCCUCGUAUUGACCA
This is a non-coding RNA of Neocucurbitaria cava, 115 nucleotides long. The record is from the annotation of a GenBank genome assembly. NCBI's taxonomy places the organism in Eukaryota, Fungi, Ascomycota, Dothideomycetes, Pleosporales, Cucurbitariaceae.